RNAcentral lists this ribosomal RNA (437 nucleotides) under uncultured bacterium. RNAcentral describes it as "bacterial SSU rRNA". It matches the Rfam family "Bacterial small subunit ribosomal RNA", at positions 394 to 850 of the family's 1533-position model. The record is from RNAcentral.
UGCCCGCGUGUGUGAUGAAGGUCUUAGGAUUGUAAAGCACUUUCGCCGGGGAUGAUAAUGACAGUACCUGGUAAAGAAACCCCGGCUAACUCCGUGCCAGCAGCCGCGGUAAUACGGAGGGGGUUAGCGUUGUUCGGAAUUACUGGGCGUAAAGCGUACGUAGGCGGAUUGGAAAGUUGGGGGUGAAAUCCCGGGGCUCAACCCGGGAACUGCCUCCAAAACUCUCAGUCUAGAGUUCGAGAGAGGUGAGUGGAAUUCCAAGUGUAGAGGUGAAAUUCGUAGAUAUUUGGAGGAACACCAGUGGCGAAGGCGGCUCACUGGCUCGAUACUGACGCUGAGGUACGAAAGUGUGGGGAGCAAACAGGAUUAGAUACCCUGGUAGUCCUCCCCGUAAACGAUGAAUGCCAGUCGUCGGGCAGUAUACUUUCGGUGACUCA